RNAcentral lists this ribosomal RNA (112 nucleotides) under Caerostris extrusa. The record is from RNAcentral. Lineage: Eukaryota; Metazoa; Arthropoda; Arachnida; Araneae; Araneidae.
AACGGCCAUACCAUGCUGAAUAUACCGGUUCUCAUUAGAUAACCGAAGUCAAGCAUCAUUGGGCGUGGUCAGUACUUGGGUGGGUGACCACCUGGGAACACCGCGUGCCGUU